GUUGAGAGGUGAGAGCACUUGACUCCUACACCCAGGUUCCUGGUUCGAAUCCC
RNAcentral lists this transfer RNA (53 nucleotides) under Eutreptiella gymnastica. The record is from RNAcentral. Lineage: Eukaryota; Euglenozoa; Euglenophyceae; Eutreptiales; Eutreptiaceae.